ACGAACGCUGGAGGUAUGCCUCAUACAUGCAAGUCGUACGGGGUUUAUUGGAGCUUGCUUCGAUGAACUUAGCGGCGCACGGGUGAGUAACGCGUGGGUAACCUGCCUUUUAGUCUGGGAUAACUCUGGGAAACCAGGACUAAUACCGGAUGACCACAUCGAUCGUAUGUUUGAUGUGUAAAAGCUGCCCUCUGAUUUAAGGUAGCGUUGAGAGAGGGGCCUGCGUCCUAUUAGUUAGUUGGUGUGGUAACGGCGCACCAAGACAUAGAUGGGUAGCCGGCUUGAGAGAGUGAUCGGCCACACUGGAACUGAGACACGGUCCAGACUCCUACGGGAGGCAGCAGUAGGGAAUAUUCCGCAAUGGGGGCAACCCUGACGGAGCAAUACCUCGUGGGUGAAGAAGGCUUUAGGGUCGUAAAUCCCAGUCAGCAGGGAAGAAGGCUUUAUGUGAAAAUAUUGCAUAGAGAUUGACGGUACCUGCAGAGGAAGCCACGGCUAAUUACGUGCCAGCAGCCGCGGUAAUACGUAAGUGGCAAGCGUUAUCCGGAAUUACUGGGCGUAAAGGACACGUAGGCGGUUUUUUAAGUUGGAGGUGAAAUCUCAGGGCUCAACCCUGAGCGUGCCUUCAAAACUAUUGAACUAGAGUAUUGGAGGGGAGAGCGGUAUUCCAGGUGUAGCGGUGAAAUGCGUAGAUAUCUGGGAGAACACCAAUGGCGAAAGCAGCUUUCUGGACAAUAACUGACGCUGAGGCGUGAAAGCGUGGGUAGCGAACAGGAUUAGAUACCCUGGUAGUCCACGCCGUAAACGAUGGGUACUAGUUGUUGGGUGUUGAUCCCCUCUGUGCCGCAGCUAACGUAUUAAGUACCCCGCCUGGGGAGUACGGUCGCAAGAUUAAAACUCAAAGGAAUUGACGGGGGCCCGCACAAGCGGUGGAGUAUGUGGUUUAAUUCGAUGCAACGCGGAGAACCUUACCUAGUCUUGACAUCCGAAAAAGCCCUAGAAAUAGGGAAGUGCUCUCUUUGAGAGAAUUUGGUGACAGGUGCUGCAUGGCUGUCGUCAGCUCGUGUCGUGAGAUGUUGGGUUAAGUCCCGCAACGAGCGCAACCCUCGCCAUUAGUUGCCAGCAUUAAGUUGGGCACUCAAAUGGGACUGCCGGUAUCAAACCGGAGGAAGAAGGCGGGGAUGAAGUCAAGUCCUCAUGGCCUUUAUGACCAGGCCUACACACGCACUACAAUGGCCGGCACAAUGGGCAGCCACUUCGCGAGAAGGAACAAAUCCCUAAAAGCCGGUCUCAGUCCGGAUUGGAGUCUGCAACUCGACUCCAUGAAGUUGGAAUCGCUAGUAAUCGUGGAUCAGCAUGCCGCGGUGAAUACGUUCCCGGGCCUUGUACACACCGCCC
This 1398-nucleotide ribosomal RNA is filed under the name uncultured prokaryote. RNAcentral describes it as "partial 16S ribosomal RNA". It matches the Rfam family "Bacterial small subunit ribosomal RNA", at positions 29 to 1395 of the family's 1533-position model. The record is from RNAcentral.